This is a non-coding RNA of Penaeus vannamei (Pacific white shrimp), 435 nucleotides long. The record is from RefSeq and is a predicted model, not a curated record. NCBI's taxonomy places the organism in Eukaryota, Metazoa, Arthropoda, Malacostraca, Decapoda, Penaeidae.
CGGACGGCUUCGAGCAGUACCAGGUGCGGGGGCUGAUCCCGGCCACUCUCUACGAGGUCGCCGUGCGGGCAUUCACGCGCGCGGUCCGGGCCGCUGUCCACGCCCAGGAUCGUGGAUUCUACGAGCCAUGACGCGCCCUCCUGUCCUCCUGCUGGAGUGUCAUGCCGAGGGUCUGGGCGUGGAGUGGUGAGGGUGUGGUGGUCGCAGCCGCCCACGCACUGCAGUCAGACUCCUGUUGCUGGCUAUACAAUCGUCGCGACGCCCACCACACACACGCAUCACCCUUCAGACAGCACAAAAUGGGAAGUCAACACAACCAACCUGGAGAAGAACCUGGACUCGCUCCCGCCAGCCACCAACAUCAGCGUGCGAGUCAAGGCCUUCAAUAACGUCGGCUUUAGUCCCUCCAACAAACCCGUUUUCUGUGUCACGGAG